UUUUUUUUUUUUUUUUUCAAAUUUAUUUCAUUUUAUAAAAUUUUUUAAAUUGCAGGAGCAGUGGCAGGCUGUUCUAUGGACUGAGGACUGCACGCAAAUUAUAACAUUAAACAGUGGAGACGAGACGUCCGAGUAAAUGAAUAGGAUGGCAUCAUUACAUAUGGCAGCAUUAUUAUGUUGUGAAAAGGUAGAUAC
This 195-nucleotide non-coding RNA is filed under the name Ctenophora environmental sample. The record is from RNAcentral. Lineage: Eukaryota; Metazoa; Ctenophora.